Molecule: ribosomal RNA, 465 nt
Filed under: uncultured bacterium
Lineage: Bacteria
Description: bacterial SSU rRNA
Rfam family: Bacterial small subunit ribosomal RNA
Source: RNAcentral
GGUUAACGCUGGCGGCGUGCCUAACACAUGCAAGUCGAACGGUUCUAAGCGCGAGCUUAGGAUAGUGGCGAACGGGUGAGUAAAAGGUAGGAAUCUACCCCUUGGACGGAGAUAGCUACUGGAAACGGUAGGUAAACUUCGAUAAGCCCGAGAGGGGAAAGUGGUGAGACAGCCGAGGGAUGAGCCUACUCUCCAUCAGGUAGUUGGUGAGAUAAAAGCUUACCAAGCCGAUGACGGAUAACCCGGUGUGAGAGCAUGAACGGUCACAAGGGCACUGAGAGACGGGCCCUACUCCUACGGGAGGCAGCAGUGGGGAAUCUUGGACAAUGGGCGAAAGCCUGAUCCAGCGACGCCGCGUGGAGGAAGAAGUCCUUCGGGAUGUAAACUUCUGAACUAGCCAAAUAAAAGGCCUGUGGACACACAGGAGAAGAAAGUAGGCUAGGAAAAGUCCCGGCUAACUACGUG